This 440-nucleotide ribosomal RNA is filed under the name uncultured bacterium. Its description in RNAcentral is "partial 16S ribosomal RNA". It matches the Rfam family "Bacterial small subunit ribosomal RNA", at positions 338 to 795 of the family's 1533-position model. The record is from RNAcentral.
CCUACGGGAGGCUGCAGUGGGGAAUAUUGGACAAUGGGGGGAACCCUGAUCCAGCGACGCCGCGUGAGUGAAGAAGUAUUUCGGUAUGUAAAGCUCUAUCAGCAGGGAAGAAAAUGACGGUACCUGACUACGAAGCCCCGGCUAACUCCGUGCCAGCAGCCGCGGUAAGACGUAGGGGGCAAGCGUUAUCCGGAUUUACUGGGUGUAAAGGGAGCGUAGACGGUGCAGCAAGUCUGAUGUGAAAGGUCGGGGCCCAACCCCGGGACUGCAUUGGAAACUGUUGAACUGGAGUACAGGAGAGGUAAGCGGAAUUCCUAGUGUAGCGGUGAAAUGCGUAGAUAUUAGGAGGAACACCAGUGGCGAAGGCGGAUUACUGGACUGUAACUGACGUUGAGGCGCGAAAGCGUGGGGAGCAAACAGGAUUAGAUACCCCGGUAGUC